GAGAAAACGGUCUUUUCUAUCCACGAACCCAAAGGGUGGCAGGCCAGCAUAUUUGUUGCUGAUAUUUUCAUCACCGAUCCAACAAAAUGAUCAUCUACAAGGACAUUGUCACUGGUGAUGAAAUGUUCAGCGACAUUUACAAAGUCAAAGAAUCUUCAAAUGGGAUUCUCUUCGAAGUUGAAGGAAAGAUGGUCAGCCGGACAGAUGAACUUGAUGAAUCCCUCUUUGGGUCCAAUGCCUCGGCUGAGGAGCAGACUGAAGCCUGUGAGGGUGCCACAGUCAGCGGUGUGGACAUAGUGCUCAACCAUAAACUGCAAGAGACUGCCUUCACGAAGCAGUCGUACAAGACCUACAUUAAGGAAUACAUGAAGCUGAUCAAGACGACUCUUGAAGAAAAAAACCCAGAGAGAGUGCAGCCCUUUGUGAAAGGAGCCCCGGACGAGAUCAAAAACAUCAUAGCAAACUUUGCCAAUUACCAGAGAGGAAGAGAAGGCGGACUAGAAAUGCACAACCUCGCCUAUUGAGCAGAAUAUUUCUUUCUUCACAGGGGAAUCCAUGAACCCAGAAGGCAUGAUCGGCUUGCUUGACUACCGUCCUGAUGGCACCACCCCUUACAUGAUCUUUUUCAAGGAUGGUCUGGAGGUGGAGAAAUGUUAAUGACCUGGAACCACAUCUGCUGUUUGAUUGUCUGCUGCUUCUGAAUGGACCCAAAAGCCCAACUGGAAACCCAAAUGAUCCUUCUGCAUCCCAAGAAUGGAGACAUUCUUUUACAGUCCAUCAUGUAUUUGCAUAUUGUGGCCCUCAUUUCCAGAGACCGGCUGAAGAUAUGUGAUGAAUUGAUGAGUUCAUUUUCACAAUUUGUUUUUGGGAUACAUUUCCUGAGGUUGGCCUAAUGUCAGGAAAGUGAAAUAUCUAAUUGCAGAAUGAGGUCCAGCACUUUUGCAUUUCUGUCAACAGUGCUCCACCUCGCUGAUUUUGAUUUUUUUUUUUUUGUCAGGACACUUAACAAUUCUUGAUUAGGUUGGCUGUUUCAGACCUCCUUUUGCUUGCAAUGUAUAUCAGUUGAAAUUGUGACAAUAAAAUCUGGUUACAACA
Lampris incognitus (smalleye Pacific opah) is the source of this 1095-nucleotide RNA transcript. It is a transcript of the gene named translationally-controlled tumor protein homolog, with no coding region annotated. NCBI's taxonomy places the organism in Eukaryota, Metazoa, Chordata, Actinopteri, Lampriformes, Lampridae. The record is from RefSeq and is a predicted model, not a curated record. The transcript is spliced from 7 exons.